This is a long non-coding RNA of Gallus gallus (chicken), 3548 nucleotides long. RefSeq lists it as uncharacterized. The transcript is spliced from 2 exons. NCBI's taxonomy places the organism in Eukaryota, Metazoa, Chordata, Aves, Galliformes, Phasianidae. The record is from RefSeq and is a predicted model, not a curated record.
CACUUCUUGAGCUUUUCAUAACUCUUUCCUAAAGAUAAUAAGAAACCGACAGUCCCAUUCCUCCCCUGUCAGUGGCUUUCCAUGUCUGAGGGAAGGCUCGUAGUGCUCUAUUUGCCUUUAGAAGAGGGACUGAGUUAUUUGCAGACAGAGAGCAUGUAUCAAGCUCUCCCAGAAAUCUGAACACUUUGUUUAUGAUUACAUGCAGGGUCAAGUAUAAUCUCCCACUGCUCAGUUAAAUGGCACCAGCUUAGCUGAAAGUGAAUACUGCUGUGCAAAGGUGUAAUAAAUUAUAAACCACCUGGGUUGCGGGGGGAGUGACAGCUGGUAAACUCUAAUUUAACACCUCUAAUACAGCUCCCUGACCACUUCCCGAGCUUCUGAAGAAAAAGGGGAUUUGUAGUGCCCAGGAAAGCCAAAGUUGUUGGUUCUUUUAUCUCUCUUAGCGCCGCAGGUCAUUCAGAAGGACUUCUGCAGGCAGCUUAGAUGAUAAAUAGUGACAGAUUCUGAGGAGAAAUGAUACUGGUAUUAGCAGUAAUUUCAUUUGUUGUGAGGUUGACAGACAUGAUGAAAAGGAACAUUCCUCCACAGCCGCCGCGACUCCAACCUUUGACCUUGGAGGCAGCCAUCUCAAGCAGCUCUGCUCUUUGCUGCCCUGCACACGUGGUGUCUGUGACAGGCAGAAGCCAAAAUCCCUUCCAACAACCCCUGUCAUAGCAAAACCCCACAGCACAAAAUUGAUUGGAUUACACAAAUCUGGGUGAUGUUUUGGUAAGCAAUGCCAAUGUGAACUGGAGCGGCACAGGGAUGCAGCUCAGCCCGUCCUUCUGGAGUGCCUGAGCCGACAUCAGGAUGUGUACAUAAAAGCUAACAAGGUGAAAACUUGAACCCCCGGAUUACUGCUGCUAUUCUAUGAACAACCUAACAUUACUCCUCGAUGUCUCCAGCUCUAAUAAUAGCUUUCUUAUAUACGUUGAGCUUCAGCUUAACGCUAAUGUCUUUGUAUUUUUACUCUGCAUAUGAUUUGCAGUUUCUUGGUUUUUUCCCCUUCUUAUAAAACCCUUUGUUUUCUCAGUUUAAAAGUCACAUUUAAUGUUAUUAUUAUUAUUAUUAUUUUGGUGACACUUUUUGCUGAUUGGGAUGGUAAUUCAAGUGCACACUUAGAGGAACACAACUGGGACCUGUUCUGAGUACGGGGGGGAUAAUAAACUGAAACCACAGAAGGUUUAUGUAUACUGAAGCAAACUUGUUGAAAGGUUACCAGUGGCAGCAGACGAUAUAAAUAGUACACUAAAAUAAACUAAGAAAAAGCUAGUCCAGUAUAAUGAAUCGAACUGGGACACCCAAGCAAAUAAGCAUUAGCGGAGCUGCAGCCACUGUCUUUCCACCACUGCUACCUGGGAGGAGGACCUCAGCAGAGGGUGAUUGCUACAGAUAAAUAACUGAAGAGAUGCAGGCCUCUCACUGGAAUCGAUAUUUAGAAGAAAUUGGCCAGUUUCACUGGCAAAGCGACGACAAAACCUGGGGACAAACACAGCAGCGCCCUCUCGGAUACCGACGGUAAUCACAGACACAAAGCUGGAAGCGAUGCGAGGACGGCUUGACUAACUCUGAGGCAGCAUCAAGCUGAACUCAGUGACUCCUGAUAUACUCAUUUAAUCCACUCUUAGCAACCUACCUUGCUGGGACUUCUCCAGCCUCCUUCUUUUUCUGCACAUCUCACACAUUGCAUUUGUUUGUAAUACCCAACUGCCUUCCUUCACAGCAGUGCAACCCAACCCCUUUCCUGAAGCUGUUGCCCCUCUGCAAACCAGUGACAUUGGUUGGGAAGGAUCGCUCACGUCCCGCUGCUCUGACUUUGCAUGGGGAUGGCCAGCUCAGUCCCUUCCAUUUCUGAUCGUCCAAUGAACUUUUUGUCAUCGUUUCACGUUGCCCUCAUCAAUAUUGCAUCCAGGUUAUGCCAGAUCCAGUUUGUCAGGAUUACUCUGGAUUCCCAUGCUGCCUCCAAAGUACUUGUAAAUCCUCUCCUCUUGGCACUAGCUGUAGAUUUAAUGGGUGCUUUUUUCACCCAAGUCAUCAAUGAAAGUAUCAAAUAGACUAAGGGCAGUUCCCAAGACGGGAACCAGGACCCACCUUUCCAUUUUUCCUCUGAACACUACUACCCAAUACAUGUCCUCCACCUUGCUGAUCUGCCUGUGCGCUGAAGAGACCACACUCUUUUCUGCUAGAAAUAAUAUUAAAACAACAACAAUAAUAAUACUGUUCUGUCUUACUUAGAGCUGCAAGAGUGAAAGUCUGGAUCAAACCACAGUGAGAUUUCUCAUUAUCAAUUCCUGUGGUUCUGGCAGAGAUAUUUUGUACCAUUGAUUGAAACAGACUUACACGUUCUGUUUUCUUUUCAGUAACAUUUGUUUCUAUUGGCUUAGCCAUUUCCAAAUAUCAAAUCCAAUACCACAGACAGCAGUUCACACCUACAGCAUUAGAAGAAUCAGAUAUCCUUGAAUUUCAUAGUGGUCUUUGCACUUCCCCUCCCUGUCACUGCGUAUAGUUUUUCAGUAUAUUUUUUACAUUAGAAAUACAUCUCUUAUUUGCAUGGAAGAGCAGACCGUAUAUUACAGUUCUUUCUGCUGUCCUUCCUGAAAUGCAUGUCUCUGGAAGUAUUUAAUUAAGCAAAGUUCAACUGCUCUCAAAUAAAGGAUAUAACCAGCAAAUACACCACCUGAACCCAAGGUUACGGGGAAGGAUUUUCAGAAGCUGCUGAAGUUGCUGUUUUGUCCCAGGACAUUUAAAUGCUGUUCGGUUCCGAUGACACGUCAAGGUCUCUAAGGAUUAGCGCGCACACAGCACUGCUUUGUAUUUUAAGCUCCUGUACAGAGCCAGACAAAUUGUAGCCGUAUGACAAAUGUAGCUUUAGUGCACCCACCUAUCUGCAAAUGCUUCCCAAGGAAACCUAGUUCUUUCUUUACUGAACUUGAAAGAACGUAUUUAAAAAUUAUAUUUUAAGCGUGCACUAAAAAUUGCCAGAAAUAGCUGUGGCACCAGAGCUCCAAAUCCCCCGAUGGAGCAAGGUCCCCAGGCAAGAUAGAUGCUCUUAACUGUGCUCCCAUGAUGAGGGGCUCUAAGAGUCCCCAUAACAUUGCUGUGUCAGCACUCGUGCCAUGACUGAGGGAGGAGAUGAGUAGAGCCUGGGGCUUGCUAGAGACUGAGGGUCAGGGAGUAAAAAAAGAAAAAAAAAAACACAACAAGAGAAAAGGUGGUAAUAUAAAGCCAUGGGGAUAGCAGGGAGGUUGGGACAGGCAUUAUAGCAAGGGCAAAGCCUGGUAUCAGGCUGAGCGGUCCCAGCAGAAGCGUCUGAGCUACGGGCAACAGCUCUGCCGCAGCUCAGUGCUCCUAGCCAGCCCUGCAAACAGAAGAAAUGACCUGGAAAGCUCAUCAUAAUGAAAGGGAAUAAAGGCAAAUGCAGCCUAAAAAUAAAAUAAGUAAUAAUAAUAAAAGUCAGAAACCUCUCGAAGGUUUUUUUUUUUUUUUUUUUUUUUUUUUUUUUUUUUUUU